RNAcentral lists this long non-coding RNA (338 nucleotides) under Brassica napus (rape). RNAcentral's name for it is "long non-coding RNA (BNAP_LNC001353)". Lineage: Eukaryota; Viridiplantae; Streptophyta; Magnoliopsida; Brassicales; Brassicaceae. The record is from RNAcentral.
AUAACCCGAAUCUGAAUGAUAUAUAGUUAUUUUGAAUAUAUCCGAACCAAUCCGAAACUGAAGUGUUAUAUCUGAAUCCGAUCCGUACUUGUAAAUUUACUAGAAUGGGACCAAUGAGGUGUUACAAAAUAGAACCAAAAUCCAAAACACCCGAUCCAAACCCGAACGGGUACCCGAACGCCCAUGCCUAGUUGAACUUAUAUAUUAAAUACUAUUUUUCAAUAUUAACAAAACUUUUAUUACUUUUAACAAAUUCUACUUACAUAUUGAAACGAAGAUAGUAUUCGAUUGUUAAUUGUUUUUUACCUUAACCAUUAUAAGAACAUAAUGACAUUUAU